UCCCUCUCAGGAUGGCACCUGGAGAGUUUCCAGUACUCUACCAGUCUCAACUACGGGAGGGAGAGUCAAGCAGAGGCAUACCAUUUCCAUUCCUAUGCUGGGCAGUGUCUAGUGAGUGGAAGGCAAUCUGCUACAAGU
This is a small nucleolar RNA of Tachyglossus aculeatus (Australian echidna), 138 nucleotides long. NCBI's taxonomy places the organism in Eukaryota, Metazoa, Chordata, Mammalia, Monotremata, Tachyglossidae. The record is from RefSeq and is a predicted model, not a curated record.